Molecule: long non-coding RNA, 261 nt
Organism: Dermacentor silvarum
Lineage: Eukaryota; Metazoa; Arthropoda; Arachnida; Ixodida; Ixodidae
Exons: 3
Source: RefSeq, a predicted model, not a curated record
GCAUCAUCAGUAGCGCAUCACCUUAAUUCAUCAUUCUAUAGUUUUGUCGGCAUGAAUUCAUGGAUGGAUACUGAGGCACACGAGAGGUCGCUGCAAUGGAUGAGGGAACUGCAGUACCAAAUGGGUGCUUCCCAUAAACUCCUUGAGAAUGUGACCAUUCAAAAACAGUACAAUCUCGUCAAUUUACCAACGCAAGACGCUCUUUUACUGUAUAUUUACGCCUACCGGGAAAACAAUUUUCUGCAGACGCUGAGAAAAAAU